GAUGAAGAACGUAGCGAAAUGCGAUAAGUAGUGUGAAUUGCAGAAUUCAGUGAAUCAUCGAAUCUUUGAACGCACAUUGCGCCCUUUGGUGUUCCUUAGGGCAUGCCUGUUCGAGCGUCAUUUAAACCUUCAAGCUAAGCUUGGUGUUGGGUGACUGUCCGCUUCACGGCGGACUCGCCUCAAAAUUAUUGGCGGCCGGUACAUUGGCUUCGAGCGCAGCAGAAACGCGAACUCGGGCCCGUCGUAUUGGCUCCCAGAAGCUAUCUUCACAAUUUUGACCUCGGAUCAGGUAGGGAUACCCGCUGAACUUAAGCAUAUCAAUAAGCGGAGGA
This 332-nucleotide unclassified non-coding RNA is filed under the name soil metagenome. RNAcentral describes it as "partial contains 5.8S ribosomal RNA, internal transcribed spacer 2, and large subunit ribosomal RNA". The stretch from base 1 to 120 matches the Rfam family "5.8S ribosomal RNA", at positions 35 to 154 of the family's 154-position model. The record is from RNAcentral.